RNAcentral lists this ribosomal RNA (544 nucleotides) under uncultured bacterium. RNAcentral describes it as "bacterial SSU rRNA". It matches the Rfam family "Bacterial small subunit ribosomal RNA", at positions 777 to 1319 of the family's 1533-position model. The record is from RNAcentral.
AAUAGAUACCCUGGUAGUCCACGCCGUAAACGAUGAGUGCUAAGUGUUAGGGGGUUUCCGCCCCUUAGUGCUGCAGCUAACGCAUUAAGCACUCCGCCUGGGGAGUACGGUCGCAAGACUGAAACUCAAAGGAAUUGACGGGGGCCCGCACAAGCGGUGGAGCAUGUGGUUUAAUUCGAAGCAACGCGAAGAACCUUACCAGGUCUUGACAUCCCACUGACCGCUAUGGAGACAUAGUUUUCCCUUCGGGGACAGUGGUGACAGGUGGUGCAUGGUUGUCGUCAGCUCGUGUCGUGAGAUGUUGGGUUAAGUCCCGCAACGAGCGCAACCCUUGAUCUUAGUUGCCAUCAUUUAGUUGGGCACUCUAAGGUGACUGCCGGUGACAAACCGGAGGAAGGUGGGGAUGACGUCAAAUCAUCGUGCCCCUUAUGACCUGGGCUACACACGUGCUACAAUGGACGGUACAAACGGUUGCCAACCCGCGAGGGGGAGCUAAUCCGAUAAAACCGUUCUCAGUUCGGAUUGUAGGCUGCAACUCGCCUAC